ACGGAGGGUGCAAGCGUUGCUCGGAAUUAUUGGGCGUAAAGGGCAGGUAGGUGGUCUUAUUUGUCUUGUGUGAAAGCCUUGGGCUUAACUCAAGAAGUGCGCAAGAAACGGUAAGACUAGAGUCCUAGAGAGGCUAGUGGAAUUCCCGGUGUAGCGGUGAAAUGCGUAGAGAUCGGGAGGAACACCAGAGGCGAAGGCGGCUAGCUGGAUAGGCACUGACACUCAACUGCGAAAGCGUGGGGAGCAAACAGGA
RNAcentral lists this ribosomal RNA (253 nucleotides) under uncultured prokaryote. RNAcentral describes it as "partial 16S ribosomal RNA". It matches the Rfam family "Bacterial small subunit ribosomal RNA", at positions 525 to 777 of the family's 1533-position model. The record is from RNAcentral.